RNAcentral lists this ribosomal RNA (435 nucleotides) under uncultured bacterium. Its description in RNAcentral is "bacterial SSU rRNA". It matches the Rfam family "Bacterial small subunit ribosomal RNA", at positions 958 to 1392 of the family's 1533-position model. The record is from RNAcentral.
AACGCGAAGAACCUUACCAAGUCUUGACAUCCCCCUGACCGGUCCGUAACGGGAUCUUUCCUUCGGGACAGGGGAGACAGGUGGUGCAUGGUUGUCGUCAGCUCGUGUCGUGAGAUGUUGGGUUAAGUCCCGCAACGAGCGCAACCCUUAUCUUUAGUAGCCAGCAUGUAAAGGUGGGCACUCUAGAGAGACUGCCGGGGAUAACCCGGAGGAAGGUGGGGAUGACGUCAAAUCAUCAUGCCCCUUAUGAUUUGGGCUACACACGUGCUACAAUGGCGUAAACAAAGGGAGGCAGCCCCGUGAGGGUGAGCAAAUCCCAAAAAUAACGUCUCAGUUCGGAUUGUAGUCUGCAACUCGACUACAUGAAGCUGGAAUCGCUAGUAAUCGCGAAUCAGAAUGUCGCGGUGAAUACGUUCCCGGGUCUUGUACACACCG